Molecule: ribosomal RNA, 460 nt
Filed under: uncultured bacterium
Lineage: Bacteria
Description: partial 16S ribosomal RNA
Rfam family: Bacterial small subunit ribosomal RNA
Source: RNAcentral
CCUACGGGCGGCAGCAGUGAGGAAUAUUGGUCAAUGGACGAGAGUCUGAACCAGCCAAGUAGCGUGAAGGAUGACUGCCCUAUGGGUUGUAAACUUCUUUUAUAUGGGAAUAAAAUGUUCCACGUGUGGGAUUUUGUAUGUACCAUAUGAAUAAGGAUCGGCUAACUCCGUGCCAGCAGCCGCGGUAAUACGGAGGAUCCGAGCGUUAUCCGGAUUUAUUGGGUUUAAAGGGAGCGUAGGUGGAUUGUUAAGUCAGUUGUGAAAGUUUGCGGCUUAACCGUUAAAUUGCAGUUGAAACUGGCAGUCUUGAGUACAGUAGAGGUGGGCGGAAUGCGUGGUGUAGCGGUGAAAUGCUUAGAUAUCACGAAGAACUCCGAUUGCGAAGGCAGUUCACUGGACUGCAACUGACGCUGAGGCUCGAAAGUGUGGGUAUCAAACAGGAUUAGAUACCCGAGUAGUC